Molecule: ribosomal RNA, 2004 nt
Rfam family: Eukaryotic large subunit ribosomal RNA (bases 570-2004)
UGUGCACAUCAGAGGGCGCGAGUGGUCUGUCCCUUGCCAACGGGCCUCGAUUCCUCCGUGGGUUCGAGGCUUGGAGGGGUGGAUCCUGGCGACCUCCUUCACAUCACAAACUCUUGAACGUAUCCAGAACGUGUAGCAGCCCUCGUGUGGGGCAGUCCUUNAUUACGACUUUCUACAACGGAUCUCUUGGCUCUCGCAUCGAUGAAGAACGCAGCGAAAUGCGAUAAGUAAUGUGAAUUGCAGAAUUCAGUGAAUCAUCGAAUCUUUGAACGCACCUUGCGCUCCUUGGUAUUCCGAGGAGCAUGCCUGUUUGAGNGUCGUGAAGUCUUCAACUUUGUCUCGCUUUGAAAAUUGCGAGGCGAGGCUUGGAUUUGGGGGUUGUUGGCCUCUUGCCUCCCUUGCCGGGGGCUUGAGGGGGGUCGACUCCUCUGGGAAUGCAUUAGCUCGAGGUUGGCUUCGGGCGGUCCGUGGCGUGAUAGGUUUUUGUUACGUCUCGAUAAUUCCGUCUCGGAGCCGUGUGGCUUCGGCUUCGAAUCGUCCCUCUUGGGGGACUGACUCCAUCUUGAAUCUGACCUCAAAUCAGGCAGGACUACCCGCUGAACUUAAGCAUAUCAAUAAGCGGAGGAAAAGGAAACUAACAAGGAUUCCCCUAGAUAACUGCGAGUGAAGCGGGAAAAGCUCAAAUUUAAAAUCUGGCGACCUCGUCGUCCGAGUUGUAAUCUGGAGAAGCAUUUUCUGUGUCGGACCGUGUACAAGUCUCUUGGAACAGAGCGUCGUAGAGGGUGAGAAUCCCGUCUUUGACACGGACUGCCGAUGCUAUGUGAUGUGCUCUCGAAGAGUCGAGUUGUUUGGGAAUGCAGCUCAAAAUGGGUGGUAAAUUCCAUCUAAAGCUAAAUAUUGGCGAGAGACCGAUAGCGAACAAGUACCGUGAGGGAAAGAUGAAAAGCACUUUGGAAAGAGAGUUAAACAGUACGUGAAAUUGUUGAAAGGGAAACGCUUGAAGUCAGUCGCGUCGUCCGGGACUCAGCCUUGCUCUUUUGCUCGGUGUACUUCCCGGCUGACGGGCCAACAUCGAUUUUGGCCGGCGGAUAAAGGCGAGAGGAAUGUGGCACCUUCUGGUGUGUUAUAGCCUCCCGUUGGAUACGCCGGCCGGGAUCGAGGACCGCAGCAUGCCUUUUUGGCCGGGGUUCGCCCACGUAACAUGCUUAGGAUGUUGGCGUAAUGGCUUUAAACGACCCGUCUUGAAACACGGACCAAGGAGUCUAACAUGCCCGCGAGUGUUAGGGUGGAAAACCCUUGCGCGUAAUGAAAGUGAAAGUUGGGACCUCUGUCGUGGAGGGCACCGACGCCCGGCCUUGAACUUCUGUGACGGUGCCGCGGUGGAGCGUGUAUGUUGGGACCCGAAAGAUGGUGAACUAUGCCUGAAUAGGGUGAAGCCAGAGGAAACUCUGGUGGAGGCUCGUAGCGAUUCUGACGUGCAAAUCGAUCGUCAAAUUUGGGUAUAGGGGCGAAAGACUAAUCGAACCAUCUAGUAGCUGGUUCCUGCCGAAGUUUCCCUCAGGAUAGCAGAAGCUCAUAUCAGAUUUAUGUGGUAAAGCGAAUGAUUAGAGGCCUUGGGGUUGAAACAACCUUAACCUAUUCUCAAACUUUAAAUAUGUAAGAACAAGCCGUCUCUUGGUUGGACCGCUUGGCGAUUGAGAGUUUCUAGUGGGCCAUUUUUGGUAAGCAGAACUGGCGAUGCGGGAUGAACCGAACGCGAGGUUAAGGUGCCGGAAUGCACGCUCAUCAGACACCACAAAAGGUGUUAGUUCAUCUAGACAGCAGGACGGUGGCCAUGGAAGUCGGAAUCCGCUAAGGAGUGUGUAACAACUCACCUGCCGAAUGAACUAGCCCUGAAAAUGGAUGGCGCUCANGCGUGCUACCNAUACCUCGCCGUCANCGUUGAAGUGAAGCGCUGACGAGUAGGCAGGCGUGAGGNUCGUGAAGAAGCCUAGGCAGUGAUGC